CAGUCUGCUUUACUGCAAGGGACAGAGACUGAUGUGUCGUUGGGCCUCUGCACUGUACGUCUCCACAGCUGUAGAUUUAAAUGUGAGAUUUGAGAUGUCCACCCUGUGAGCCCUUGGCCUGCCCAACCUGUCACCAUGACUUCAACUCUAAGACUUGAGUCAUGAGCCAUCGCUCCUCAUCUGAGUGCAUAUGUUACCACUGACCUUUAUAGGGCAGGCAUGAUGGUAACAUUUCUCCUGACAGCAUGCUAACAUUUUGCAUGAUUUAUUUGCUUACCAAUGGUGUCCAUCUUUUCCUGCCCCUAAGAUACAUCAAUAAAAUCCAGCAUAUACAGUGAAAAAUCCAUCCUAUAAGGCUUUGGAGGUGUCAGUUACACAAUUAAUGUCUUUCCUACAUGAAGAACUGAAAACAAUAGACAUUUUCACGAUAAUACAACUGUUUUUCUCAGCUUACUGAAGUGCAAAUGGCAUGCAUUUGUGCUGCUAACUAAUAUGAAACAUGUGCCACCAUGUUAGAAGUUUCAGGACAAUGCUAUCGUUGUGAAUAUAGCUGUUGCAGAUACAGUCAUUUAGGGUUACCAUUAAAACAAACUGAUUGUUUAAAAUUUUAAGCAUUACAUGUGAGCAGGUUGAAAUAAAAAAGCCAGUUAUGUUUGUUCAAAUACUUCAAUAUCUAUUAAUUUUAAAAUGGGCCUUUGAUUUAGAAAUGUGUACAUUGACAAAAAAAAAUUACAGUUGCUCUAUACUUCUGUUAAUAUAUAAUUUAUAGCCCAAACAGGGCUUGAUACUAACUUUUACACAGGUUAAAAAGUAAGGAGCACACAAAGAACUUCAGGGGCACAAUGAAAAUUGAUCAAAUAAUGUGUGUCCUCUUGGUCGACACAAGUACUAUUAUUAAAAAACAUUUUUGGUCACAUGACAUGGAAGCUAUUGAAGAUAAUGUUCAAAACUUGCCUUUAAAUUUAACACAAAAAAAUUUAUGAGGACAAAUUAGGGAAAUAGAGUGUGUCUUAAUGGUCGACAUAAAUACUAUUAUUUGAAAUUGAUUUUAAGUCAAUUGGUCACAUGACAUAAAGGAAAACAGCCUUUUCUGAGAACACCAACCAGUAAUUUAUUGACGGUCCCUUAUUUGACACCCAACGUUGACAGCGAGGAUGCUGAGAAGAUUUAACUGCGCUGCUGUUGCUAUUCGCGGUUAUAGAGUGAGAAGACACCGGUGGAUCCACAGUGAAUGUCCGUCGAAUAUCCAACCUAAAACUAACUUCACUGCGUUAUUUACAUGAAAAAACAUUUGUUGCCCCGGCCAAUUUUUUUAUGCACGCAUGUGCCCCUAAAUACAUGUGCAAUUUGCACACAUCUAUUUUUAGUCGCAAAUGGGAGUAAAACAGUCUCACUGUCGAGCCCUGCCAAAACAUAUGAAGUGCUUCAUCCCAGAAUAAUAAAAAGGCUUAUAGUGUCAUAUUGUGUCAUAUCUUGUCAAAUGCUGUGUAUUGUCAUGAUAAUUUCAGGUAUAUGUCCCGGUGUAAGUUACUUAGAAGCCAAUGAGAAUAUAGAUUGUUUACGUCUACAAUGCUGGGCAUGAUAGUUCUAACAUUUAGUGCAAACAUGGCUGCUGGCGGUGUUUCACUGGGCUAGUUCUAUGUGUGAGGCAGAAUCUGGUUUGCGGCUUUAGAGCAAAUGACCUCGCCCUAUUUCUUUUUCUGCCCCCAGCCUCUGUAGCUGCUGUAUCCUGGCUCUGUGUGUCCAGUUCAAGGCAAUCUGGCAGGUGGAGUUAGAGAGGAGCACAAUGUUGUCAAACAGAAAUCAGAUUUGCUCCACUCUCCAUUAGCCUUAGCCCCUUCACUCUCCCCUCUGGAGAUCACAUUAAAUGACAUCUGCUAUCAUCAGGAUAACCUGUGUCAGCUCCGUGACAGGACUGCAGAUGCAGGGCCACAGAUUGCAAGGAAGUGGAGGAAAGAGAGGAGCGAUAAAGGAGAUCCAGCUAGCUUAGGAGUCUUCAGACUUACAUUAGGGCUUGUUAAAUCAGUCCCAGAUUAUAAUUAACAUAUAAAUCGAUGCUGGUUCAUAAACCAGGCAUGGUACAGUGAAGAACAGCUUUAUUCCAGUGGGAGGAUGGAGAAGGAGGAUGCAUUCAGGGUGACUAGCUCCAGCUCAUAUCACUGUCCUAAUAGCAUUCUGCAGGACAUGGUAAAUGUGAUCAGGAAUCAUGCAUGUUUCACAGGAGCAUCUCUGGGAAAUGUGGUGGGUUUCCACUGCCAGGCUUGGCCUGAUAAGGGAGUCCAGUGAAUGACAGCAGCCUGAGCGCUUGUCAAAAGUAUCGAUGCGUGACUCGUUUCUACAGCAUCAGCCACAACCAAAUAGCUCCCCUUAUCUCCUGACAGUACCAUUUGGAGGACUCGCACUCUUCUAUCUGUUAUUUUCCUCCCUCCUUUCAUUGCCAUUGCCCCGCCUCUUUCCUUUGGCAGUACAAACAGGCUACUGCUGUUGACUCGGAAAUGAUAAGAUGAGCCUCUUUGUCACACGCUUCUUCAGCUUCCACUUCCUUUGAAGCAGCUCCACUUUGUUGCCUGUUUCAACAUCUGUUUCCGUCUUUUUUCGGCCUCUCAAAGGACUGUUUAUGUCAUUCCACCUCUUUAACACCAAUUACCAUCUAGACCAAGCAGGUUCUCUCUUUGAAAACAUGCACGCAGCUUCUGUUGAAGCAUCCAAGCUGCUAACCUCUUGAAGCCCUCUUUCACAAGCCCUUCAUGCAAACGCUCCCUAAUGGUAUUUAUUGUGCAGUAUAGUAUGCAUGCUUUGUGACUCUUCACUGAAUAUAACACUACCUCCAGGCUUCUGUCCAACACGCUCCCAUUGAGUACUAAUCAUCUGGCAGAAUUUGAAGUCUGCUUUUCUGGAGGAAAUCAUUAUAGAGCCUCACAGAGAAGCAGCCUCCAAACAGUCAGGCCCAGAUAUUGUUGGACUGAGGCGUCUGCACAGGCGCCUGAUUAAAAAAGAAGCAUGGGCAUUAAUUGGCCAGCUGAUGUUAGGUUGUCAGCAGUAGCUGAUGGCUCAUUAUGCUUCUUGAGCAGUGUAGAAGGAGGAUGAGAGUUGAGCUCGCCCCCUCACUCAUCUCGUUUUGGCCAUCCUUAAACCGAGCCCACCCUGUAAUUUCAGCAUCAACACAUCACUCAAAGGGUCUGGAGUAUUAGAUAAAUAGAAUCUGUCAGUCCCAUGAAUGCAGACUUGUAGAGGCCAGGAUGGGGAGAUGGGUAUGAUUGUGCUUGUGUGUGUGUGUGUGUGUGCGCGCGCGUGUGUGUGUUUGUUUAUGAAGCAGGGAUUCAUGGGGACAGUUUGCUUGGCUAAUGGGGUUGGCGGGCAGCACAGUGCUCUCUCAGGCGAACAGCUAAUUAGCAGCAGCAGAUGAGAACAUGGUGAGUGUGUGUCCAGGAUCCAGAGACACACUGCUCAACCAACCAGGAACACGCCGUCACCCCUCUGCCCAAUCAGCGGCCCUGAGCUGAGAUCUCCCUUCCUUGUUUAGUGUCCAUUCAGCCAAUAGUGCGACUCUUUAACCUUUGUCGGACUCUUCCGCCUCUCCGGAGAAGCUUCCAUUUACCAUGGCAACGACAUGUGUCAAACGGCUACUUAGCCCUGAGGGAAUCUCACAAAAACGGAAUCCAUCAAGUUCAGGGUCAUUUAACGUUCAUUCCCCAUCACCGCCACUGCAGCUGCAGAUGAACAAUUGGAGAGCGAGGAGUGUCCUUGAGAUGGAAUUGAGAUUUUUGUGCAAUAAGGAAGUGUGUGGGAGCACAAAGGCUGAAUCUCUUUGGCAGCACAUGGCCAUGAUGGACACCUUUCUUUACAUGAGCUACAUGAGACCUUGGAGCUCUGAGCGGAAAUAAUCUUUCAGAGUUUUGCGACUGGCAUGUGUAGAAUUUCCCCUAAUAAAAGAUAAAAUAUAAUCCAAAACGGCAUCUUUACACCAACCUCUGGCAUUUCGGCAGAUUUAAGCAGUUAUUAAAUUACUGUUUGAAUUUCUUCUUGAAUCUGAAAUACCGUGCUGUCAUUGCAAAGAGCUGUCAGGUCAUGUCUCAGCAUCUUUCAGAUAGUAAUUAUACUGACUCAAGGGCGAAAAGGUGGGAUCUAUCUCAUAUUUCCUGUGUAACCAUGGCAAUGACUUUCCAAGACUGAACAGUUUGUGCAGACCAGCGUCUGCCACAGAAAUACAUCACUGUUUUCCGGAAAAAAAAAGAGGUGGAUAAUGCUGCCGCUGGAGGUUGUAAUUGCAGUGAUUGUUAUUGCCAUAAUCAUAAAGAUCUUUGGCAGACGAAGAAAUGAGGGGAACUCAAAGUCAUGCUUUUUGUAAAUAGUGCCAGGAGUUUUAUUGUUUUUUUGUUUUUUUAGUCCUAGUCAUCCUUUUGACAGUUACUACACUGACAGCUAUGAUAUGGAUGAGGACUGCAACACAGGACCUUGUCUUUAAAGCUCAUCUAUCAUUCAUCAGAGGUUAGCUCAAGUAAGUCUGAAAAUACAGGGGUAUAAUCUCUCAAGGGUGACAUACAAAAAUGUUGCAGAGCAUUUUUGAACAGCAUCUGGACAUCUGCUCUUCACUUUAAAGGGAGAUUUAUUUUUUGGCAGGGGAGGUUGUAUGUACUAUUCAGCAGUAGAAAACAUAUUAACCCGUUACUGACAGACCAACCAGAGAGCUGUAGUGGAAGCUAGGCUAUCAACUGCUACAGAUUCGGUCCAUUUUAACACUUUUUUAUAGUAAUUUUUAAAAAGUGCCAAUCUAACAUUAAAGCUCCUGCGAGGAACUUUCAGUGUGUGUCAGUUUUGGCGCUCCCUGUGGCCAAAAAGCAACACUGCUUUGCCUCUUUGCAAUGUGAAAAUUAUAAGAAUAGGGUUAUUUCUCAAAGCUGACACCUACCCCUUUAUACUGGUUUGAUGCAUGAAAAUUUUCAAAUCAAAAGUUGCCAGUCUUGUUAAUCAUGGUCUUGUUUACUAUUGUAAAUCAAUAAAAAACAUAAAUUUCAGUCCACUUAUAAGUUUAAAAAAAGUCCUUACAGAAGCUUUAAUGUCAGUGUGAGUAAACAUUAUAGGUGCAUUUUGACCACAGAAACUAGGGUCUGAAUUUAGUUCUGAGGUGGAAGAUUUACCCUUUGAAAGUCCCUGCUCAGGUGGUGCUACUGUGUCAUGGCUUUGGGACUUAAGGGGGCAGGGCCUGAUAUAUACACAUCAAAACAACAGAUUGUUAAUUUACAUUAUAAUGCUGUUUACACAGACACACACAAAAAGUAAGAAACCCUGGAGUGGUACUGGAUCAUAUCCUACAAAACCUAAUGUUAUUGAAUCUGUAUUUGUUUACCCAGUUGUUGUUGUGUUGUUUGGGUAAUAAGUCCUGAAAAUGUUUCAGCUAACCCAAAUUCAACAUAUUGUCAAUGGGUUUUAUCCUUAUGCAAUUGAAAAUAUAGUCAAAAUCUUACUUUGAAGAUUCACUUUUCUAGUUUUCUCAUUAAACUCUUAAUGGGGGAGUAGUACAUGCUGUGAUUUUGACACAAAAUUUGUACUGUCUCUAGUUAAAAAAAAAAGAAAUACACCCAAUUCCCUAUUUAGCUCCCCUCGUCACGUACAACAUGCUCCUCAAACACCUGAAUUUAAAAAUUCCUGUCACUUCUUUCUCUCCGGUUCCUAACUUUUCUCUUGUUCUCCAUCCCUCUCAUCUUUUCUACAAUCUCAGUAAAAAGAGCACAGUUGAAAAGGUUAGACUUCUCGCUGUCCUGUGAAAGAAAGGCAUAAAUUUUGAACUAAAUCUAAAGAAUAAAAAACCUUGGUUUGUUGCAGCUCCAACAUUUCGUGGCUGAUAUUGUAAGUUGAUGAAAAAGAAUUUGAAAUUUCAGUCAAGAUUAGAUCUCACAUCGGUACAUUAACCAAAUGAUGCACGUAAAAAUGUGAUUGAUCUCUGAAUAGUUAAACAAAGAUGGAUAGACAGUAUCUCAAGCCUAGAAAAUAAAGUAGGGUACACGUCAGACCUUCCCCAACAGGGUUCAGUCUGUGACACUAAGGGGAAACACAGAGCAGAGUUGUCGUCACACAGCGUACAUACUGUACACCUCAUCUAUAUAUAACCAGCAGAGAUCCUGAUGUAUAUUUCAGCAGUGAAAGCAUCUUGAUGGUAACUUUCCCAGCACAGCGGUCAAAGCAGUUCAACAAUGCAUCACCCAGCAUGUCACCUAAUCAUGAAGCCCGGUUUUCACUCCCCUCCUGCUCAUGCACUACAGGGUGAAAAUCAGAGCUGCUUCAUCUGCCCGCAAGACAGAGAGAAAGAAGCACAUUUAUUAUACAUAGUAUAUGUGGCUGUGCCGAAUGAACCGACCAUGGGAAAUUGGACACAUUUUAGCUCUGAUGCUUGCCUGUCUCCAAGGGGAGCCAAUUACCAUGUUUCUCCUUCAAAACCGGCGAAAAUAACCAAAAAUUCCUCCAUCGUCCCCUGAGCACAAGCAAGGAGCUCUGAGAAAAAAUGUCCUCUUGUUCCUCAUUCUGUUAGCCCUACGGACACUCACUGAAAUCACACGUCCGCUGUAUUCAUUACCUGCUAACGACCCUCCAUCCCUCAGAGACCGUGAGGAGAGAAAAAAGUGAGGGUGAGCGGGGAGAGGGGAGGGUUUAAAGGUAAGAGAAGUACAGAUAGCAGGGACAUGGGGAGGCCCAUCAUCAUGGAAGAUGGAUGUUCCCCAGGAGCAGGUGAUUUCCAGACUGGAACAGUGAACAUUGGAAACAUGGAAAUAUCCGACAUGGCUGGUUACUUCAGGUCGACAGUGGCUCAGGAGUGUCCAGAGAAUCUGGCGCUGAAAACUGGACUGCCCACACACCUGCUCUGACCUUCACCUCGGGUUGAAAACUCAACGAGCAGGUGCUUAGCCUAAUGUUUCGAAUCAGAGAACAUUUUUAUGUUUAAUUAGAGGGAACAUGAGCUGAAUUUACCGAUCAAUUUCACCAAUUUACCAACAGCAGACUGCAGCGGUAUGAAGAUGGCUGCUUUUGGCUUCAGGGUCGUAUUUCUAGUGAAUCAUCCCAGCUUUGGUACAAAAUCAUGUUUUGUUAACUGCUUCUGGUUUUGGCUGUGGAAAAUAAAACCAAUCUUACUGAUUAGAUGACGGAGAAUUGUCACAGUGGCGUGGCAUCACCCACUCAAGUUUGGCAUUUUACCACCAUCAUGUUGGCUCUCUGGAACCAGAAGUUACCAUGUGCAGGAGAGAAGGAAAAGUUACUGAACCAGGAUAGACAAUACCCUUGACUCCAUCAUUUGCAGGUGAAUGAGCAUAUUUGAGUUUCCCAACAGGUGAGAUUGUGUUUGUGAUAGAGGUUUUACAACUUAUUUUUACCUGAUGCCAAGUUUUUCAAAAUUGUAGAUGCAGAAAGGAAGACACUAGUGCACAAAGAAAAUUGUAUGUGAUGGAAACAUAACAAGCAUUCCAACAGUGAGAAAUCACACUCCUUAUUCUAUCAUGUUUUAUCUGUACAAAAAGAGAAAAUAACAGCAUUGGAGGCCAGCCCCCUCUGCAAAUAUUUGACUGGUUGACAAUUGUCCACUAGAGAUUAAAGUAGUCGAUGAGUUGGUGAAACCCCCCAUUUGUUGAGAACUUCUUAAUAAAAAUUCGGGCCCUUGCAUUGAUUGCAGGACAGGAUCUUGUUCCACUUUCCCUACUUGUUGGUUGGGCCCAGUGGCUCCUCAGGCUGCCCCCAUAUCUUUACUCAUAAUGCAACAGACCAUAGUUAGUCUGUGAUCCAGUCAGGAUAAUGUUGUCUGGGUAGAAUUAGGCUUUUAAAAAGACUUUGACGAACAGUGUAUGAAAAGCCCUGUCAUUGAGAUUCAUGGAGAGGACAGUGAAUAGAAUAAGAAACAAUUAGAGGCAGUGGCAAGUGACAUGCAGGAAAGGAUCCACAGGCUGGAAGCAACCCCAAGGCCGACGGCUUGAGGCAUAACCUCCAUAUAUGAGGCACACACCCAGACCACUAGGCCAGUGGCCCCCUUUAUAUAAUUGAUUUUUUGAAGUUGAUCCAAAAAAGGGGAAUCAAACUUUGUCCUUCAACCUAUGAAAUAUUUGUCUGAGUGUUUGUUGAAAUGUUCUUAAAUUACCAUAUUUUUCGGACUAUAAGGCGCAUUUAAAAUCCUGAAAUUUUCUCAAAAAUUGACAGUGCGCCUUUACUCCAACGCGCCUUAUGUAUGAUUACUUCUUGUACUUACUGAUUGAAUUUAUGUGGUAAUAUGCGCUGAAAAAUCUGUCGAAAUGUGUAAGUACAACUUUGGUAAGCAACGAAGCCGCCCCGCUCAUUAGAGCGUUACGGUACUCUGUAGCUGCGUCCGAAUUGCCAAGUAGUAGUCGAAGUAGUAGUCGAAGUAGUAUCUAGCAUGUCCGAAUUGGCCACCGGAGCGAGUAGCAUGCUACUUCAGAUACUACUUCAGAUGCUAGACACGCCCACAUUGUAGGUUGGUCUCGGUGCAUCCUACGGGCAUGCUACUGACCCAAAAUGCACUGCGGGCUUCUUCUUCGUCCUCUUAAAAGUUGUAGAAGCGCAUGUGAUGCUAGCGCCACCAGCUGAUUUAAAAGUGUCGCGAACGCCGGCUGGCCACAGCAGCGCGCACCAUGUCGGAGCAGCAGCAGCAGCAGGCGGGGCCGCAGCAGUACAGAUGUAAGUUUCAUGUAACUUCACACACUGUCCUAAAAAAUGUGCGGUUGUAUCUCUUUGUCAUGUCAUGGUGUCAUAUUUGCCCAAGUAAUCAUUUUAUGAGCAAGUGGCGACAUCAUGGAGGUAAAGCUCACUUAUUCCAUCAUUAAACUGCACAGCUGCAGUACUACAGCCAGGCCCGCAGAUGAGGGGCUUCAGUUACCACUGUCUGCACGGGCGCAGUACCUACUCUCUGCCUGCGGGGGUCGUCUUUCCCCACCGCUCGUCUAGUGUGUCCGAAUUGGGCCAACGUUUUUAGUAUGUAGGAGUAGGAUCUAGCAGUAGCACGUAGCAGUAGCAUGUAGUAUCCGAGCGGGCAGUUCGGACGCAGCAUGGGUCACUUUCUGAUCUGCCCUGUAACAGGACCCCUGAGCAGGCUACAUGACUGCCUGACUAUAAUGUCUAAACUAGGAGUGCAGAGUAUGUGCAAGCAACAAUAAACCAAUCAAUGCGCCUUACAAUCCGGCGCACCUUAUGCGUGAACAUAGACACAUUAAUUCACAUUGUGCCAUAUAAUCCGGUGCACCUUAUCAUCUAAAAAAUACGGUGACUGCCAAUCCAACCAAAGAUCCGAUUACACCAACCAAUAAAUAUAUGUGUGAGAAUUUGAACAAGCUACACCCGUUACUUUGUGCAAGAAUAUCAAUACAACACUAAAAUUUCACCCAUGCUAAAAUCCUCGCCUCCGUGGACAUAUUGCCCACAUAUAGGAGAAAGAGAAACGAGCUGCUAGAAUUAACUGCUUCUUUUGCCAGGCUUUAAACACACUUCUGCUGUAAAACAUGUUACAGGAUCCAAAAUGAGACAUACUUUUUACGCCCAUAACAAAAAUAUUAGCCACUUGUGCACUCGUGUCUCUGAAGUCAAACCACCACAGAGGGCUGACUGUAGUACUUUGAUUUCCUAUAUCAUUAGGUGACCAAGUUUCAAGAGCAAAAUGCUUUUUUUUCUUUUUUGCAUUGGGUUGACUCACUCCUGUUCCCCACAUAAGGAGAUAAGGUGGGUGUUCAGUGCGACAUGAUGAAAUGAUUGUGUCCUUUCUGUAAGAGGUCCUUAGGGUGACUCAGACAGAGACAGAUGAGUAUUUAUGGUUCAACUAUCUUUCUUUUUCGUUUCCUGUCUGAGGAAAGUUUGGCCUUCUCUUGGCUGAAAAGUUUCCCCCAGGGCGUCUCUGUCCACUGUCACUCACUGAGCCCUAACCCUUGAGGACAAAGAUUCCUCUGCCACAGGGUCCCAUUCACUGCGAUAUCCUCAGCAGAUAAACUAUGACUGCUUUAUUUGUUCGCUCUCUCCUUGAAAUCACUGAGCAAGAACAAGGUUAAAAGCAUUCUUCUCGAUUCAAAAACACUGUCUGUUUGUGAUCAUUGCACUUCCUGAAGCUGUUUUCAGCCAUGGAAUGCAGAAAAUUGCUGAAUUCCCACACCUUUUGAGUGAAAGACAGACCUUUUAUUCAUAUCUUACACCUCGAACAUUUAAAAAUGAAGACUCAAGAAAAAGAAGGAACAAAGCCGGGUGUAUCAGACGCUCUAUUUCAUUUCUGAUAUCUCUUUAAUAGCUUUACUUAGUUUUCGAGGGGAAGAAAAAAUCAUAAAGAUGUAUUUAAAAACAUUAUUAUUUUAGCCUCUGUCCGAAACGCUUCAUCUUAGCUGCUGUCUCUUUAAGGCCCCCCACCCACAAGCGUAUUUCUUCUGAUUGGCCACCUCUCCAGGAGGCCAAAGGAAGAAUGACCCAAAACAAAGCUUAAGAAACAACUUGAGAUAGUGUUUACUUUUUUAUGCGUUGAAGGUGAUUGUAAAGGGAUACAGCCCUCUAACUUUGCGUAAUUUUGGUAAAUGUAAAACAAAAUUAUUCAAUAAAAAAGUUAAAAAAUAUAUCUAUAGAUUUUUUUCGAAGGCGUUUGUAUCAGGUUUGUACCCUGCUUGAAGUGAUAUAAGUGUGAAAUUAAGGUUAAGGGUUGAUCUUGGCAGGUUGAUCGACACAGUGUUUCUUUGCUGAUUCUGUUUUGCACAUGAGUCAUGCCCCCCAACUGUGGAUUAAUUUAUUAAUUAAUUUUCUGUCUGAUUGAGUUUCUUUCCUGUGAAAAAUGUAACUGCAAAAACACAUGCAGCACAUCAUAUCGUAAUGUCUCAAAUCAUAUAGUUUUUUAAUAGCAUAUAGUUUCACAUCAUGCAUUGUCCUUUUGAAUCUUGCCGUAUUGCAUAGUAACCUAUCAAACCAUACAGUAUUGUAUCAAAUUGUAUUGUUAUUAUUGGUUUAUUUUGUAUUACAUUAUAUUGUGUACAAAAGUGCACUGUAUCUUGCCCUAUUAUAUCAUAACGCAUUGUUGACAACUGAAUCUUAUGGGAUUUAAUUGUAUCAUAUUGUUUCAUUUCAUAUUGUUUGGUAUUGUACCUUGUCAGUAUUAUAUUGUCACCUAACAUGUUGUAAUGUAUUUUAUUGUUUAACAAUUAAAUCCUAUUUUACUGUUUUAUAUUGUCAUAAGGUAAUGUUUUUUCAUUAAUGCAACACAAUAUAAUUAUGUUGUAUUGAUUUUAGGGGGUAUAGUUUAUCACUGUAGCUGACACAUGCUGUAUUGCAGUUGCUUAAAAGCAUUAAAAAUAACUGCAGAGGUUAUUAGUCUUUUUGAUGGUGGUCUUGUUUGUUAGGUCAUAAAAGGGCAACAUUAUUAAUUUCAGUCCAUUUAAUGUGUCAAAUGUAGAACCUUUGAAUUGCCUUCACUUCACACAGUAAUGUAUGUGAUGUACUGUGUGAAUUUUUGUGGGUAGUGGGCACAUCUGUCAUAUGGAAGUGUAGUGUUACCUCAUUUUGUACUCACUAAUUUCGCUUUUACACCCUCUAUACUCUUUAACUAUGACAGAAAGCUUUCACAAGGCUCUCAGUGUUCGUCACCAUGAUGUACAGUUACAUAAUUAUAAUCUUUCUUCCAUUACACCGCUUUAACAGCAAUACUGAUAUCUCAUACUAAAGACGGAGCACAUCUUUUAUUCCCUUUUCAGUCUUUUCAUCAAAGGAGCUGCAAGAACUGAGCCGAGCUGCCAAGGUGAGACAGAGAGCGGACAUUGAGGAGAACAUCUUACAUUCCUGCACCAACUUUAAUUUUCCGUGAAUCAAGCCCAUCUGUUUAAACAAUAUGCAAUUAGCAUCAUUUAACAGCUAUACUUGUUAAAGUGAUUAGCCAGUGUUUACCAUAAGCAACAUUUUGUACACAAGAUAGCGGCGCUCAUUUGCAUAUGCUAAUGCUUGGUAAUUAGCCAUGCUCCGUCGGGUAAUUUC
Non-coding RNA from Xyrichtys novacula (pearly razorfish), 11982 nucleotides. NCBI's taxonomy places the organism in Eukaryota, Metazoa, Chordata, Actinopteri, Labriformes, Labridae. The record is from the annotation of a GenBank genome assembly.